Long non-coding RNA from Syngnathoides biaculeatus (alligator pipefish), 300 nucleotides. RefSeq lists it as uncharacterized. The record is from RefSeq and is a predicted model, not a curated record. Lineage: Eukaryota; Metazoa; Chordata; Actinopteri; Syngnathiformes; Syngnathidae. The transcript has 3 exons.
GACGCCGCCAACCCGGAAGUAGCUCCGCAGUCUGAAACAACGAUAGCUCAGAGGAUGACAUGCUGUGGGAGCAAAAUAGGAUCACUCUUCAUGAAUUCAAGAGGCACCAGAACUGGACCAAGUCACCAAAGGUAGCUACGAUGGAUAUUUUUCUGAGUGGAGAUGAGUCAGAUGCUUCUUUUGAAGUCUUGGCCUAGGAUGCGAAAUGUUGGCGAAGGAAACAGGCGAUGAAGAAGUGAUCGAUAAGUAUGGCUUUCAGCAAAGGAACUUUGAGGGGCAAAUGGUGGUGGACUUCGCAAA